Molecule: ribosomal RNA, 253 nt
Filed under: uncultured bacterium
Lineage: Bacteria
Description: partial 16S ribosomal RNA
Rfam family: Bacterial small subunit ribosomal RNA
Source: RNAcentral
UACGUAGGGUGCGAGCGUUGUCCGGAAUUACUGGGCGUAAAGAGCUCGUAGGUGGUUUGUCGCGUUGUUCGUGAAAACUCACAGCUUAACUGUGGGCGUGCGGGCGAUACGGGCAGACUGGAGUACUGCAGGGGAGACUGGAAUUCCUGGUGUAGCGGUGGAAUGCGCAGAUAUCAGGAGGAACACCGGUGGCGAAGGCGGCUCACUGGCCCGUAACUGACGCUCAUGCACGACAGCGUGGGGAUCAAACAGG